Molecule: unclassified non-coding RNA, 250 nt
Filed under: Ascomycota sp.
Lineage: Eukaryota; Fungi; Ascomycota
Description: partial contains small subunit ribosomal RNA, internal transcribed spacer 1, and 5.8S ribosomal RNA
Rfam family: Eukaryotic small subunit ribosomal RNA (bases 1-47)
Source: RNAcentral
AAAGUCGUAACAAGGUCUCCGUUGGUGAACCAGCGGAGGGAUCAUUACAAGAAGCCGAAAGGCAACUUUAAACCAUUGCGAACUUAUCCAAGUUGCUUCGGCGGUGCGGUCCCCCUGCGGGACCGCAGCCCAGGCCCCUCACGGGGCGUAAGGCGCCCGCCGGAGGUCUAAAACUCUUUUGUAUUAUAGUGUAGUCUCUGAGUAAAAAGCAAAUAAGUUAAAACUUUCAACAACGGAUCUCUUGGUUCUG